GCGUGCGUGUGUGUGCGUGUGUGUGUGUUCUGCGUCUGUGUCUGGCUGUGUAGGGUGGAUAUUUAAUCGGGUUGUUGUGUGUUUCUGGUUGUGUGUCUGGUUGUGUCCUCAUCUCCACCUGAGAACAACCAGCUGCAGAGCUGCUCCACCCUUCAGCCUUCAGCCCAGAUAGUGAAGAUGUGAUGGAGGAGGAUGGAGGUGUUGAGAUGACUUCACCACUGAGGUCCACUGACGGUCCUGAACCAACCAGGGACCAACAAGAACAUACCAUAACUAUCCCUGAAACUAUAGUGGUC
Gadus morhua (Atlantic cod) is the source of this 296-nucleotide long non-coding RNA. RefSeq lists it as uncharacterized. The record is from RefSeq and is a predicted model, not a curated record. Lineage: Eukaryota; Metazoa; Chordata; Actinopteri; Gadiformes; Gadidae. The transcript has 2 exons.